Molecule: ribosomal RNA, 329 nt
Filed under: Microcassiope minor
Lineage: Eukaryota; Metazoa; Arthropoda; Malacostraca; Decapoda; Xanthidae
Description: partial large subunit ribosomal RNA
Source: RNAcentral
AUUAACAGAUAUAGUCUUUAAACUUAAAGAAUUUGGCGGCGAUUUAGUCUUGUUAGAGGAACCUGUUUUAUAAGUCGACACACCACGUAGUAUCUUACUCAUUUUACUGUUAAGUUUAUAUACCGUCAUUAUCAGAUAAUUUUUAAAAAACCAAUUAUUAAGUUUUAAAAAGUUAAGUAAAAUUAGAUCAAGGUGUAGCUGAUAGAUGAGCCAAAAUGGGUUACAAUUAAUUUUAUUAACAUGGAGUAAUAGCAAGAAUAAACAUUAUGAAGGAGGAUUUAAUUGUAAUGUAAGUUUAAUAAGCUUAGGAGAUAUAAGCCCUAAAUCGU